GCUAAUUACUUGGAACCCUCCAGUGGGUGCUGCUCCAGUGGAUGCUGUGGGACAAAUGCAUUGGACUCCCAGCACUUCAUAGAGAAUGACACUAGAAAGGACUUUGAGGAGGACAUGUAUCCUACAAGGAUUACAAGGAUAGAAGAUAAUGAAUAACAACAACAAAAGCAACAAAAAACAGGAAUAAAGAGAAUCAUGUUGGUUUUGACAACAUUUCUCAAGUACAAGAUACAGUUCUAAAGCAGUUCAGAUAAAGACUGAGUAGGAGA
Molecule: long non-coding RNA, 269 nt
Organism: Cygnus olor (mute swan)
Lineage: Eukaryota; Metazoa; Chordata; Aves; Anseriformes; Anatidae
Exons: 3
Source: RefSeq, a predicted model, not a curated record